UGGGGGAUCAACAUUUACAUUCCUCUAGGCAGAAUACCUGCAGAGUGAAGAAGAACCAAUAAAAGGAUGCAGCAAGAGAUGGUGGUCAAAUUUACUUAGUAGGAGAAAGAAGCUUAUUCCCUAUCACCUUCCUUCUUAUUCUCAUUUCUAAAGACAGGAACAGCAGAAGAUGGAAAGUCUAAAGUGGUUGCUCAUCUUUGUGUCAGAGGUUCUUCACAUCUCAGAAGGGACAUUGGGCUGUAGCAUUGCAUGGAAGUUGCCUUGGAUUGACACAUAUGGAGGCUAUUGAUUUGAGGCAUGGGGAAGCCCUUUGGGGCAUAUGGAAGACAUCUAGCUGGUCCUCUAAUCACCCCUGCCCCCUUAGGGACACACUGGUCCCAACAGGAAAUGGAAGGCAUAUGGCUUAUAUACACAGGAACUUGGCUCCUCUUCUCACCUGAGGAGGCUGAGAAAGAAAUAAUAGCAAAAAAGCAGUAAAUUAUGCUUUAUGCAGGGUGAAAAGAUUUUAGGAAACACAUUAGGGCUAUUCUAUUCACCUGUUAAUAAAUUUUAAGCAUGAGGUAAUUGAUUAAAAAAACAAAAAGAUUUUAUAUAUAUCGGAAACAUCGGAAACAAAAAACAAAAGACUGUAUGGUGUAAUAGCAAAAGCUCCAAGCAACACUCAUAAUAGGAUCACAGCCGGGACAUUUAUCUAUAUGAAGUCAUCAUGGAUAAAGCCCUUUGCCUAGUUGUGCUUCCAUUUCCUGAUCCAUAAAAGGGGCAGGACAUUACUGCUGCCCCACAGAAGUUGGUGAUGAAAUGAUUAUACAAACCAUGAAUAAGAGAAAUGCCCAGAACAUCGAUUGAAAGAAUGGGAACAACUAAGAACACUUGGAUGAGAAGUAGACAUGUAAGAGAAUGAAAACGAAUUCUUGUUAAAUGAAGAUGAAGACAUUUAUUUUAAAAAGAAAAUGGGAAAAUAGGAAAGACUAUGGACGUAAAAGGUAGAGAUAAUGGGUUUGAAUUUUCUGGCACAUUAGCCAUGUGACUCUGGGCAAGUCAUCUCAUUUAUCAAUUCCACCAGGGAACUAAGUGAUGGGCCCUUGGCGCAUUAUUUGCUUAGAAGGAAUUCUUUGGUCUGAUCAAAAGCAAAUAAACAACAAACAAACAAAAUCCCCCAAACAAAC
Molecule: long non-coding RNA, 1166 nt
Organism: Sarcophilus harrisii (Tasmanian devil)
Lineage: Eukaryota; Metazoa; Chordata; Mammalia; Dasyuromorphia; Dasyuridae
Source: Ensembl